RNAcentral lists this long non-coding RNA (1544 nucleotides) under Salmo salar (Atlantic salmon). RNAcentral's name for it is "lncRNA (ENSSSAG00000117285.1)". Lineage: Eukaryota; Metazoa; Chordata; Actinopteri; Salmoniformes; Salmonidae. The record is from RNAcentral.
CUUGGAUAUUUUGUGGUGGUUUAUUUCUGUCUUAUCAAAUGAGGAGAGACAAACCUUUCAAACAAGUCAGAGUUAUACUCAAACUACAUCUUUAAUAAUAAGGCCCUACGUUUCUCUGUCCCUCUCUGUGUAAACCUGGCCCCUACGUCUCUCUGUCCCACUCUGUGUAAACCUGGCCCCUACGUCUCUCUGUCCCUCUCUGUGUAAACCUGGCCCCUACGUCUCUCUGUCCCACUCUGUGUAAACCUGGCCCCUACGUCUCUCUGUCCCUCUCUGUGUAAACCUGGCCCUUCAUCUCUCUGUCCCUCUCUGUGUAAACCCGGCCCCUACGUCUCUCUGUCUCUCUCUGUGUAAACCUGGCCCCUACGUCUCUCUGUCCCUCUCUGUGUAAACCUGGCCCCUACGUCUCUCUGUCCCUCUCUGUGUAAACCUGGCCCUACAUCUCUGUCCCUCUCUGUGUAGGUGUGAAGCCCUCUGAGCCAGGGAAGAGGUCCAGGUGGGAUGUGUCUGGCCAGGCUGGGGACGAGGACAGGAAGGAGAAGGAUCCAAUCAGUGAGUUCCUCAGUGUGGCUCGUAUUGAAGCCUCUGGGUCAGGACCGGACACCUCUACUACUGAUGGCCCUACAACGGAUCCUACUGUAGAGGUACUGGUACCAUCCUACUACACUACAUACAUCACUGAUCCUACUGUAGAGGUACUGGUACCAUCCUACUACACUACAUACAUCACUGAUCCUACUGUAGAGGUACUGGGACCAUCCUACUACACUACAUACACCACUGAUCCUACUGUAGAGGUACUGGUACCAUCCUACUACAUACAUCACUGAUCCUACUGUAGAGGUACUGGUACCAUCCUACUACACUACAGACAUCGCUGAUCCUACUGUAGAGGUACUGGUACCAUCCUACUACACUACAUACACCACUGAUCCUACUGUAGAGGUACUGGUACCAUCCCACUACAUACACCACUGAUCCUACUGUAGAGGUACUGGUACCAUCCUACUACACUACAUACAUCACUGAUCCUACUGUAGAGGUACUGGUACCAUCCUACUACACUACAUACAUCACUGAUCCUACUGUAGAGGUACUGGUACCAUCCUACUACAUACAUCACUGAUCCUACUACACUACAUCACUGAUCCUACUGAGGUUUGACAGAUGUAACAGUCCACUGUAAUACGAAGAGGUUUGACAGAUGUAACAGUCCACUGUAAUACGGAGAGGUUUGACAGAUGUAACAGUCCACUGUAAUACUGAGAGGUUUGACAGAUGUAACAGUCCACUGUAAUACUGAGAGGUUUGACAGAUGUAACAGUCCACUGUAAUACUGACAGGUUUGACAGAUGUAACAGUCCACUGUAAUACUGAGGUUUGACAGACGUAACAGUACACUGUAAUACUGAGAGGUUUGACAGAUGUAACAGUCCACUGUAAUACUGAGAGGUUUGACAGAUGUAACAGUCCACUGUAAUACUGAGAGGUUUGACAGAUGUAACAGUCCACUGUAAUACUGAGAGGUUUGACAGAUGUAACAG